This 368-nucleotide ribosomal RNA is filed under the name uncultured bacterium. RNAcentral describes it as "bacterial SSU rRNA". It matches the Rfam family "Bacterial small subunit ribosomal RNA", at positions 771 to 1132 of the family's 1533-position model. The record is from RNAcentral.
ACCUAAUAGAUACCCAGGUAGUCCACGCCCUAAACGAUGCGAACUGGAUGUUGGGUACAUUACGGUACUCAGUGUCGAAAGCUAAAACGCGUUAAAGUUCGCCGCCUGGGGAGUACGGUCGCAAGACUGAAACUACAAAGGAAUUAGACGGGGGCCCGCACAAGCGGUGGAGUAUGUGGUUUAAUUCGAUGCAACGCGAAGAACCUUACCUGGCCUUGACAUCUGUCGAAUCCUGCAGAGAUGCGGGAGUGCCGCAAGGAACGACAAGACAGGUGCUGCAUGGCUGUCGUCAGCUCGUGUCGUGAGAUGUUGGGUUAAAGUCCCGNAACGAGCGCAACCCUUGUCCCUAGUUGCCAGCACAUCAUGGU